UACAGAGGGUGCGAGCGUUAAUCGGAAUUACUGGGCGUAAAGCGCACGUAGGUGGCGACGUAAGUCGGGUGUGAAAGCCCCGGGCUCAACCUGGGAAUUGCAUUCGAGACUGCAUUGCUGGAGUACGGGAGAGGUGGGCGGAAUUCCCGGUGUAGCGGUGAAAUGCGUAGAUAUCGGGAGGAACAUCAGUGGCGAAGGCGGCCCUCUGGUCCACUACUGACACUCAAGUGCGAAAGCGAGGGGAGCAAACAGG
This 253-nucleotide ribosomal RNA is filed under the name uncultured bacterium. RNAcentral describes it as "partial 16S ribosomal RNA". It matches the Rfam family "Bacterial small subunit ribosomal RNA", at positions 524 to 776 of the family's 1533-position model. The record is from RNAcentral.